UGCGGGUUCGAUCCCUGCCCUUGCUCAGUGGGUUAAGGAUCUGGCGUUGCUGUGAGCUGUGGAGUAGGUCGCAGAUGCGGCUCGGAUCCCAAGUCGCUGUGGCUGUGGCGUAGGCUGGCAGCUACAGCUCCGAUUAGACCCCUAGCCUGGGAACCUCCAUAUGCCGUGGGUGUGGCCCAAGAAAUGGCAAAAAGACAAAAAGAAAAAAAAAAAAAAGAAAAAAGGAAGCAAAUGAUGAUGAGCAGCAGAGCAGGUUAUGGAGGACUGAGGAGGGAGCAGGAAUGAGGGAGCUGUUGAGGCGAAUGGGAGAGGGAAUGGCCUAGGACAGGCACGAUAGAUGGGCAGCACCCUGGUCCACAGGAGGUUGUAAUGACCAUGACUGGGAAUUUAGAAGGAGAUCAGCCAGCAUGGUUGUGUUCUUUCCCCUAAGCACAUUUUGUAGCAGGGAUGCUGGCCCAGAAUAGGCAGAAAGUUGGAUUUAAUCAAGGGUGAGAAUUUACCAGUAUAAUACACUGAGAAAGGAGCAAGGAGAAUAAGGGUACUUACAAGAGAGAAAUAAUGAUGACGGAUCAUGGAAUUUAAGCAGAGUCAGGAAGAGAAUAUGAGGACACAAGAGGGUGAGGACAGUGGCAAGGUGGUAGGAACAAAAAAAAUGCAAAUGGCAUUUCUAGCCUUUACCCUAAUAAAGAUAAAGUCUUUAAUAAGUUUCCCAAGCUCUUGAUGUUUCUUUGAAUGCUGAUGGAGAUGAUAACGUGGGGAUGGGGCUUCUCUGUUGGAGCAGUCAUGGCUCCGGAGCUGCCAGCACCAGUGGUUGUUGGCGAGAGAGAAGGCAAGGAUAGUGUUGGUUCUUCAAGGAGGAAAAUGACUGGUGUGGGGUAGCAGGUCUCAGAGUCUCUAAUCAUUGGAGUUGUGUAAUUCUAGGAUUGCAGGAGGAGGUGUAUAGACUCCAAGUGACACAAACACAUACCCCACAUGUGCAUUUUCCUUCUUUACCUGAAAUCAGUAUAGUGCCCCAUGCCAGGUAUGUAGUCUGUCAAUGGGUCUUCAAAGGUUUAAGUGAAAAGUCAGGAGAGGAAAAGGCAGGAGGAAAAGCCUUUUAAAGAUAGUGGUUUUACCUUAGAGUUUAGUUUAUAAAUGAUACCAUAAUAUGACAUUGUGGGAAAUAUGUGGUAGAAAUCUGAUAAUAAUUUCAUUAGGAAAUAUGGCUAUUGAAAUGCUGGCAGAUGUCUUUGUGUCAUGACCACAAUAUAAGUAGUUAUCUGAGGCUUAUCCUUCAGGAAUUCUUGUGUUUGUGGAUUAUAUCAGUUUCCUGUCUCCUGACCUCUGGUCUCAGCCCAGGAUUACUUGGUAGUUUGGACUUUUCAAUCAGAAAUGGGUGAGUUCCCUUGUAGCACAGCGGGCUAAGGAUCCAGCAUUGUCACUGCAGUAGCUCAGGUCACUUCUGUGGCGUGGGUUCAAUCUCUGAUCUGGGAAUUUGAGCAUGCCGUGGCACAGCCAAAACAAAAAACAAAAACGAGAAAAGAAAAAUCAGAAAUGGGGCUUUCAGAUCAUCCAGAGCAAUCCUUUCAUUUUUCAGACAUUAGAACUGGGGCCCAGUGAGGUGAAAUCUGUGUUUCUCUAUUCUGCCAUGAGGUGGGCACCAUAUUCUGGCCUCUGGCUCUGAUGAAGGUAGCCCCUUCCAUGCUUCUGUUGGAGGCUUGUUCCUGGUCAUUGAUGCUCUUGCCUGUUUGUCCUCAAGUUGAGAUACCUUCCCUGUGACUCAGGAAGCAAAAGCUUGCUACUUCUGAGCAGUUAUACAGAAGAUGGAACAAGAGGUUUGGGGUUUUUUUGCAAAUCGAACGAAUCCGACUAGGAAUCAUGAGUUUUCCAGUUCAAUCCCUGGCCUUGUUCAGUGGGUUAAGGAUCCGGCAUUUCCGUGAGCUGUGGUGUAGGUCGCAGAUGGGGCUCGGAUCCCGUGUGGCUGUGGUAUAGGCCAGCAGCUGUAGCUCCGAUUCAACC
This 1998-nucleotide long non-coding RNA is filed under the name Sus scrofa (pig). RNAcentral's name for it is "lncRNA (ENSSSCG00000041815.1)". The record is from RNAcentral. Lineage: Eukaryota; Metazoa; Chordata; Mammalia; Artiodactyla; Suidae.